This 28-nucleotide non-coding RNA is filed under the name Rattus norvegicus (Norway rat). Lineage: Eukaryota; Metazoa; Chordata; Mammalia; Rodentia; Muridae. The record is from RNAcentral.
GACAUAAAAUGUAAACGGAACGCUGGCC